GGUGGCUGGCUCAGUGGUAGAGCAUUUGCCUUGCAAGCUGGAGGCCCUGGGUUUGAUUCCUCAGCACCA
This is a non-coding RNA of Dipodomys ordii (Ord's kangaroo rat), 69 nucleotides long. Lineage: Eukaryota; Metazoa; Chordata; Mammalia; Rodentia; Heteromyidae. The record is from Rfam.